This 484-nucleotide ribosomal RNA is filed under the name uncultured bacterium. RNAcentral describes it as "partial 16S ribosomal RNA". It matches the Rfam family "Bacterial small subunit ribosomal RNA", at positions 29 to 507 of the family's 1533-position model. The record is from RNAcentral.
AUUGAACGCUGGCGGCAUGCUUUACACAUGCAAGUCGAACGGCAGCGCGGGCUUCGGCCUGGCGGCGAGUGGCGAACGGGUGAGUAAUACAUCGGAACGUGCCCAGUAGUGGGGGAUAGCUCGGCGAAAACCGGAUUAAUACCGCAUACGACCUGAGGGUGAAAGCGGGGGAUCUUCGGACCUCGCGCUAUUGGAGCGGCCGAUGGCAGAUUAGCUAGUUGGUGGGGUAAAGGCCUACCAAGGCGACGAUCUGUAGCUGGUCUGAGAGGACGACCAGCCACACUGGGACUGAGACACGGCCCAGACUCCUACGGGAGGCAGCAGUGGGGAAUUUUGGACAAUGGGCGAAAGCCUGAUCCAGCAAUGCCGCGUGUGUGAUGAAGGCCUUCGGGUUGUAAAGCACUUUUGGCGGGAACGAAAAGGACUGUGCCAAUACCACGGUUCGAUGACGGUACCCGCAGAAUAAGCACCGGCUAACUACGUG